This is a non-coding RNA of Coffea arabica (coffee), 461 nucleotides long. The record is from RefSeq and is a predicted model, not a curated record. NCBI's taxonomy places the organism in Eukaryota, Viridiplantae, Streptophyta, Magnoliopsida, Gentianales, Rubiaceae.
GUAGGAAGAUUAGAAUACAAGCACUAACCUUAACACUCUUGUGUAACAAACAUGGGCAGCAACAGCAAGGCGCUGUUCACCAUACUUCUCUUUCUCUUCUUAAUUUCAACUCAGGCCAUCCUACCUUCAACGCCGAGAAAGAUCAUGGAGACAAAUGGAUUUAGGAGUAAUGACAAAAUAUAUGCGGCAAAAGAAAUAGGGACGGACCGCAGAAUCGCCUAUGAGACCCCUCUGCCGCCUGCGCCAGGUGCACUUCGGCCGUGAUUCGUGACCGUGAAACCAAUUCAUAGAAGUUGAUUAACAUCUGCUUCUAAAGCUGAUCGACAAUGAUACCUGAAUAAAUUAAAGUACUUAUGAUACGAUUGUAAUAUUACGCGGACAAAACCUUUUAUUCCAUAAAUGUUUGCCACUGAAAGAGAUGUAUCAUUUACUGAAUGAAAUUAAAUAACUAUUUCAAGGUA